GUGGGGAAUUUUGGACAAUGGGCGAAAGCCUGAUCCAGCCAUGCCGCGUGCAGGAUGAAGGCCUUCGGGUUGUAAACUGCUUUUGUACGGAACGAAAAGACUCCUUCUAAUAAAGGGGGUCCAUGACGGUACCGUAAGAAUAAGCACCGGCUAACUACGUGCCAGCAGCCGCGGUAAUACGUAGGGUGCGAGCGUUAAUCGGAAUUACUGGGCGUAAAGCGUGCGCAGGCGGUGAUGUAAGACAGUUGUGAAAUCCCCGGGCUCAACCUGGGAACUGCAUCUGUGACUGCAUUGCUGGAGUGCGGCAGAGGGGGAUGGAAUUCCGCGUGUAGCAGUGAAAUGCGUAGAUAUGCGGAGGAACACCGAUGGCGAAGGCAAUCCCCUGGGCCUGCACUGACGCUCAUGCACGAAAGCGUGGGGAGCAAACAGGAUUAGAAACCCGAGUAGUCC
Molecule: ribosomal RNA, 450 nt
Filed under: uncultured bacterium
Lineage: Bacteria
Description: partial 16S ribosomal RNA
Rfam family: Bacterial small subunit ribosomal RNA
Source: RNAcentral